Long non-coding RNA from Symphalangus syndactylus (siamang), 400 nucleotides. RefSeq lists it as uncharacterized. NCBI's taxonomy places the organism in Eukaryota, Metazoa, Chordata, Mammalia, Primates, Hylobatidae. The record is from RefSeq and is a predicted model, not a curated record.
CUCCUGGGCCAGCCGCCGGGCCUGGGAGCGCAGCCGCUGCUUCUCUGCCUCCAGUGCACCCACGUGUGCUGACAGAGCCAGCAGCACCUGCCCGGGGUGGGGGUCCCAAGUCGAGCAUCUCCAAGUCGGCCGCUGGGCCCUGUCCCGCCAGGGCCUCCGCCAGGUGCCCAGCCAGGCCAUGGUGCUCUGCCCGCAGUGCCUCCAGCCCCUGGACCACUUGCCUCGUCUGCCGCACCAGCUCCUCAGGGCUCAGGCGCUCUGGGCCCAGCCCCGCACUUCCGGGAGCCGCCACCUGCACAGACAUUGCUGCUCCUGGGGAGCAAUGAGACGGAGUAUCACCAUAUUGCCCAGGCUAGUCUAGGAUUCCUGGGUUCAAGCAAUCCCCCCCGCCUCAGCCUCC